Molecule: ribosomal RNA, 254 nt
Filed under: uncultured bacterium
Lineage: Bacteria
Description: partial 16S ribosomal RNA
Rfam family: Bacterial small subunit ribosomal RNA
Source: RNAcentral
UACGAAGGGGGCUAGCGUUGCUCGGAAUCACUGGGCGUAAAGGGUGCGUAGGCGGGUCUUUAAGUCAGGGGUGAAAUCCUGGAGCUCAACUCCAGAACUGCCUUUGAUACUGAAGAUCUUGAGUUCGGGAAGAGGUGAGUGGAACUGCGAGUGUAGAGGUGAAAUUCGUAGAUAUUCGCAAGAACGCCAGUGGCGAAGGCGGCUCACUGGCCCGAUACUGACGCUGAGGCACGAAAGCGUGGGGAGCAAACAGG